AGAACGAACGCUGGCGGCAGGCCUAAUACAUGCAAGUCGAACGCACUCUUCGGAGUGAGUGGCAGACGGGUGAGUAACGCGUGGGAACCUUCCCAAUGGUACGGAAUAACUCCGGGAAACCGGUGCUAAUACCGUAUAAGCCCCUCGGGGGAAAGAUUUAUCGCCAUUGGAUGGGCCCGCGUCGGAUUAGCUAGUUGGUAAGGUAAUGGCUUACCAAGGCUACGAUCCGUAGCUGGUCUGAGAGGAUGAUCAGCCACACUGGGACUGAGACACGGCCCAGACUCCUACGGGAGGCAGCAGUAGGGAAUCUUGGACAAUGGCGAAAGCCUGAUCCAGCCAUGCCGCGUGAGUGAAGAAGGCCUUAGGGUUGUAAAGCUCGUUUUUGGCGGGGUACGAUAAUGACGGUACCCGCAGAAUAAGCCCGGCUAACUCGUGCCAGCAGCCGC
RNAcentral lists this ribosomal RNA (446 nucleotides) under uncultured bacterium. RNAcentral describes it as "SSU rRNA". It matches the Rfam family "Bacterial small subunit ribosomal RNA", at positions 26 to 518 of the family's 1533-position model. The record is from RNAcentral.